Long non-coding RNA from Pteropus alecto (black flying fox), 570 nucleotides. RefSeq lists it as uncharacterized. The record is from RefSeq and is a predicted model, not a curated record. Lineage: Eukaryota; Metazoa; Chordata; Mammalia; Chiroptera; Pteropodidae. The transcript is spliced from 3 exons.
CCAUCAGCCAGUCUGGGAUUCCUCCACCGAGCAUCUUCCGGGCAGAGCGCCACGCUCCCUGAGAUGGACGGGCCACGGCUGAGCCCGGAAAAUGACCCCCUGGACAGGCCCUGAGUCUACCAUUUAACCUCUCUUGAGUGGCAGCUUCUUCACCUGUGAGGCAGCCUCGUGAGGCCUGGUGCUUGUCUGCUUCUCUUAAGCCGUGUCCCAAGUGCCACAGCGGUGAUCGGAGAUCCCUGGUAGAUGCUGGAUGGAGGAGCCCCAGGGCCAGCCCCCAGCGCGCACGGGCUCCUCCUUCUCACGGAGCGCGCAGGAGCACGCCCACUCUCCAGGGAUGACACUCACGGUAAGAGCCCUUCACAAAGCCCUUGACUUUGGACCCGUUUCACCUGUGUGAUCCUCCUCGACUCCAAGGAAGGGCAAGAAUAGCCACUGCUAUGCCCUUCUUACACCUGAGACAACUAGGACACAGGACAGAUAAGCGGUCUCAGCUGGUAGGACCAGAGCUCAGGCUCUUUGCCCACCCUCUGUCUGCAGUCCAGGUGAGCAGGUGGCCAGGAGGAGCCUGGC